RNAcentral lists this ribosomal RNA (445 nucleotides) under uncultured bacterium. Its description in RNAcentral is "partial 16S ribosomal RNA". It matches the Rfam family "Bacterial small subunit ribosomal RNA", at positions 354 to 796 of the family's 1533-position model. The record is from RNAcentral.
GUGAGGAAUAUUGGUCAAUGGGCGAGAGCCUGAACCAGCCAAGUCGCGUGAAGGAAGAAGGAUCUAUGGUUCGUAAACUUCUUUUGCAGGGGAAUAAAGUGCGGGACGUGUCCUGUUUUGUAUGUACCCUGAGAAUAAGGAUCGGCUAACUCCGUGCCAGCAGCCGCGGUAAUACGGAGGAUCCGAGCGUUAUCCGGAUUUAUUGGGUUUAAAGGGUGCGUAGGUGAGUUGAUAAGUCAGCGGUGAAAGUUUGCAGCUUAACUGUAAAAAUGCCGUAGAAACUGUCGGACUUGAGUGUAAAUGAGGUAGGCGGAAUGCGUGGUGUAGCGGUGAAAUGCAUAGAUAUCACGCAGAACUCCGAUUGCGAAGGCAGCUUACUAAGCUACAACUGACACUGAAGCACGAAAGCGUGGGGAUCAAACAGGAUUAGAUACCCGUGUAGUCC